GCGUUUGUAGCUCAGAUGGAUAGAGCGUCGGACUUCGAAUCCGCAGGUCGCACGUUCGAAUCGUGUCAGACGCA
This 74-nucleotide transfer RNA is filed under the name Spirochaetaceae bacterium. RNAcentral describes it as "tRNA-Arg". It matches the Rfam family "tRNA". Rfam says of the family: Transfer RNA (tRNA) molecules are approximately 80 nucleotides in length. Their secondary structure includes four short double-helical elements and three loops (D, anti-codon, and T loops). The record is from RNAcentral. Lineage: Bacteria; Pseudomonadati; Spirochaetota; Spirochaetia; Spirochaetales; Spirochaetaceae.